This 464-nucleotide ribosomal RNA is filed under the name uncultured bacterium. RNAcentral's name for it is "partial 16S ribosomal RNA". It matches the Rfam family "Bacterial small subunit ribosomal RNA", at positions 339 to 795 of the family's 1533-position model. The record is from RNAcentral.
CUACGGGUUGCACCAGUGGGGAAUAUUGCACAAUGGGCGCAAGCCUGAUGCAGCCAUGCCGCGUGUAUGAAGAAGGCCUUCGGGUUGUAAAGUACUUUCAGCGGGGAGGAAGGGAGUAAAGUUAAUACCUUUGCUCAUUGACGUUACCCGCAGAAGAAGCACCGGCUAACUCCGUGCCAGCAGCCGCGGUAAUACGGAGGGUGCAAGCGUUAAUCGGAAUUACUGGGCGUAAAGCGCACGCAGGCGGUUUGUUAAGUCAGAUGUGAAAUCCCCGGGCUCAACCUGGGAACUGCAUCUGAUACUGGCAAGCUUGAGUCUCGUAGAGGGGGGUAGAAUUCCAGGUGUAGCGGUGAAAUGCGUAGAGAUCUGGAGGAAUACCGGUGGCGAAGGCGGCCCCCUGGACGAAGACUGACGCUCAGGUGCGAAAGCGUGGGGAGCAAACAGGAUUAGAUACCCUAGUAGUC